CAGGAAUUCGUGCAACAUUGACCGCCUUCCCGGAGCCGGUUCCCCUUGCCAGUUCCGAGGCUGAGGUCUACAGCUCGAAAAGAGGUGGGUCCUCUGGGCCACGGAUUGCAUCGCGAGCCGUUGAGUCCUGGGGCUUAACGAGGCACAGAUAAGCAGCGUGCUUAUCAGGAGCCCGCCGCCGGGGUACCUGCUCCAGCCCCAUCGUGAGCGAACAUGUUUUUACCACCCAGCUGCAGGGAGCCGGGAGCGCGCGCGCGGCCGGGCAGCGCGGCUCAGCCGGUGCGUGGUAACUCGUGAAGCCGCAGCGACUUUAUCACUUCGCAACAUCCAUACAUAGCCACAGCCUCGAGUCUUCUCAGGGGAAGAAAGGAUGAUGAGUUACUGUCCUGGGAUUUUCGCUCUGUCUCCAGUCAGUGGGAAGUGGUAUGCGGAGCAUUCAUUUAAUAAACCAGAGGGGAAAAGCUGUAGAUCAGCUUCUCAUUAUUUCAGUGCUGGCUCACGCCAUCGCUUGGGCUUGUGCCUGACAGUUCAGUGUGUUAUUUGAGGCCACUCGAGCAUUCUGCAGAAAUGAUGCCACCCUCUUCUGAAAGCGUGGGGUUCGUCCAAGCAGGGAGGGCCUGCCUCCCUUAGUAGUUUUAUCAGUGCCAAUUCCAUCUCAGUUUUAGGUCUCGGUGUGCAAGGAGGUGCCCACUUUGGAGAUCGGUUCCUGCUGAGAGACACUGCUCCAGCAGGAAACCUUCUGGAGAUGGUUCUUCUGGUCUAGUCCUCUGGAGUAAAGCAACUCUAGGUCCUUCCACCAGCUUUCUGCAAAGAGCUGGGUGGCCCCUGCGAGCAGAGGGCUGAGGAGAGCUCUGGGGAGGAGCAGUGAACAUGCUGGGCUGUUUCUGGGGUGAGUUGUGAUGAGGUUCCUACAGCUGGGUCAUGGUUGUCACUGCGUUUGUCCAGUACAGAUUUCCUUGAAUAACUUGUUUAGGUGUAAACGCCUUUGGCAUGAUGUCUUUUCCCUGCUUUUCCAAGAACGACGGAGAGUUAGAAACUCUCCUGCUUCUAGGAUUGUUCCAGAGCGUGCUUUUGGGCUGCGAGCCCUACCUGAAGCUGGGGUGGGGAUGCAGCACCCUGUGCCAACCUGCUGUCCUGCUGGAGCAGAGCUUGUGAGCAAAUCCUGGGGGCACACCAGAAGAUGCCAUGGGAUGCCCUUCUCCCCAGUCAAGCAGAUCAAGCAUUCAGCACUUGCACCAUGGUCCUGGUUCGUGUGACCCACAACGACUGCCCUUUCACAGACCUGGGUUCGGAAUGAGAGGAGGAGAGAGAACACGUAACAGGCAAGAGCAGAUGAAACGGAGAUGAAGGAACAAGGGGGAGGAGGAAUGCAGAGAGACACAGACAGGCACUGCCAAAAUGCUGAGCACCCAGAGCCAGACACACAUGGACGUGACCACGCCAUGGGCAGAGCACGGGCAAGGCUCACGCUCGGCAGGAUUUCCUCUCCGUGCUAUCUCCUCACUGUGUCUUGCGAGUCUGCAAGGAAAUGUGUCGCCAAUAAUCAGCUGUCUCCAAACAGUUCAGCAUUGCUGGGGCGUUUGUGCUGGCUGCGGGUGGAAGGACUGAUCUUGGAAGGAAACUCCAUGUGAAAUCCCCAGCCUGCUCUGCAGACGCACGUGCUGGGCUAUUUCUGGACCAGCUUUCAGCUGCCACAGCAGGGGAGCUGGAAGAAGUGGGGAGAGCCCAGAAAUCCUGCCUGAGCUGUCUCAGAAGGACUGGACUAGCCUGAAGGCCACCAAAGGCACAGCCCAGCAGCACAAUUUGGGACACAGGUAUCCCACACCCAGCAUCCAGCAGUGCUGGGGGGUAGAUCCAGUGUCACCAGGAAAGCCGUGACCUCAAGCCACACAGGCUCCUUCCUGUGCAGCUGCCCUGAAUCGGAGCACCUCUGCGUUUUGUUGACAGCUGACAAAUACUCCAGCCUUCCAGCUAGAAUACCAUUGCGGUGCUCCUGUGUGAGCCGGGCCGUGCUGGUCACACAGCAAGGAAGAUUUACCUGUGCCCAACCUAUCUGCAAGCGGGUCGGAACGUGUGUGUAUCCCAUUAACUCUGUCCUCGCUGCUCUCAAGAUGUUCCGCACAAAUGAUUUUAUUUUUUUUGUAAGAAAAUAUAUUUUACUAGGCAGUUUUAUGAGAGCUGACAAAAUGCCUCGUAAAUAACCCAGCAGGAAAUAUGGGGUAAAUAAAAUUUUUUACAACUUUAUCAUAAA
Anas platyrhynchos (mallard) is the source of this 2251-nucleotide non-coding RNA. The record is from RefSeq and is a predicted model, not a curated record. Lineage: Eukaryota; Metazoa; Chordata; Aves; Anseriformes; Anatidae.